Molecule: transfer RNA, 63 nt
Filed under: Trocnadella arisana
Lineage: Eukaryota; Metazoa; Arthropoda; Insecta; Hemiptera; Cicadellidae
Description: tRNA-Pro
Source: RNAcentral
CAGCAAAUAGUUUAAAAAAAAAUUAAGUUUUUGGGAAAUUUAGAUAGAAAAUACUUUUGUUGA